Molecule: ribosomal RNA, 467 nt
Filed under: uncultured bacterium
Lineage: Bacteria
Description: partial 16S ribosomal RNA
Rfam family: Bacterial small subunit ribosomal RNA
Source: RNAcentral
ACGCACGCUGGCGGCGUGCUUAACACAUGCAAGUCGAACGGAAAGGCCCUGCUUUUGUGGGGUGCUCGAGUGGCGAACGGGUGAGUAACACGUGAGUAACCUGCCCUUGACUUUGGGAUAACUUCAGGAAACUGGGGCUAAUACCGGAUAGGAGCUCCUGCUGCAUGGUGGGGGUUGGAAAGUUUCGGCGGUUGGGGAUGGACUCGCGGCUUAUCAGCUUGUUGGUGGGGUAGUGGCUUACCAAGGCUUUGACGGGUAGCCGGCCUGAGAGGGUGACCGGCCACAUUGGGACUGAGAUACGGCCCAGACUCCUACGGGAGGCAGCAGUGGGGAAUAAUGCACAAUGGGCGGAAGCCUGAUGCAGCAACGCCGCGUGCGGGAUGACGGCCUCCGGGUUGUAAACCGCUUUCGCCUGUGACGAAGCGUGAGUGACGGUAAUGGGUAAAGAAGCACCGGCUAACUACGUG